Molecule: ribosomal RNA, 548 nt
Filed under: uncultured bacterium
Lineage: Bacteria
Description: bacterial SSU rRNA
Rfam family: Bacterial small subunit ribosomal RNA
Source: RNAcentral
CUAAGAAUCUUCCGCAAUGGGCGAAAGCCUGACGGAGCGACGCCGCGUGAACGAAGAAUGUCGUGAGAUUGUAAAGUUCUUUUCCUGGGGAGGAAUAAGGCUCGGAGGGAAUGCCGAGUUGAUGACGUGAACCAGGGAAUAAGCCCCGGCUAAUUCCGUGCCAGCAGCCGCGGUAACACGGAAGGGGCAAGCGUUGUUCGGAUUUAUUGGGCGUAAAGGGCGUGUAGGCGGCAGUAAAAGUCUGGUGUGAAAUACUUCGGCUCAACCGAAGAGACGCGCUGGAAACUGCACUGCUUGAGUUUAGGAGGGGGAGCUGGAAUUCCUGGUGUAGGGGUGAAAUCUGUAGAGAUCAGGAAGAACACCGGAGGCGAAGGCGAGCUCCUGGCCAUAGACUGACGCUGAGGCGCGAAAGCGUGGGGAGCGAACAGGAUUAGAUACCCUGGUAGUCCACGCCGUAAACGAUGUGCACUAGGUGUCGGGGAUGAUGAUUCUCGGUACCGCAGCUAACGCGUUAAGUGCACCGCCUGGGGAGUAUGCUCGCAAGGGUG